Molecule: non-coding RNA, 5483 nt
Organism: Rattus norvegicus (Norway rat)
Lineage: Eukaryota; Metazoa; Chordata; Mammalia; Rodentia; Muridae
Source: RefSeq, a predicted model, not a curated record
CUCCUGGGAAAGAUUCCAUUUCGUUAUAGGGAGAAACUAAAUUCAAGGUCCCAGACCCUAGGGAAGCUGGAGACUUCCCUAAGAGCUGAACAGCUUCUGUUGUCUGCGUCUCGGCAUCUCAGAGACACCUCGUAAGGAGGAAGUUGUCUGAGUCCAGCUAUCUCAAGGACAACUUCUCCAUCUGGCCCGCGGGGUUAAACAAAUUCAUCUUCCCAAGCCUAGGGAUAAACACCUAUCCCACUUCUCCAAACAUUUUCUUAAUUGUCUGUUAACCUGUUAACCAGUAAAGAAUAUAGAAAUCACUGUUAUCUAAACCCAGGUUUAUAAGUUGUAAAAAUAUAUAACCAAUCGUCAUUAUACCCUAAUUAACUACCUGCAGCUGACUUAUUCAUUUGUCCCUUUAGCACUCUGUCCAGGAGAAUGGGUUAAGGACCUUGGAGCCAGAUGCCCUGAAUACGGCCCAGGCUCCAAUAGGUACUUCCUUGGCUUAACCCAUAAUGUCAAACACAAUCACACAGCACUGCAGCUCGCCCCAGCUCUACUCUCGAUUUGGAGGGUACGGUCAGAGAGGAUGAAGUCAUGGUGCCAGGAGCCUGAGGCAGCUGCUUGCAUUGUAUCCGCAGUGAGGAAGCCGAGAGAGAUGAACCCGAUGAGCAGGUAGCUUCCUCCUUUUCUUACAGUCUGAGACUGAGCCCACGGACACCUGCGUGCAAGAUGGGACUUCCCAGUUCAGUUAACCCAAGGUAACCCCUCCCAGGCAUACCUGGAGACUUGUCUCCUAGCUGGUUCUAGAUCUGUCAAGUUGGCAAUCAAUAGAAACCAUCACCAGAGGGAUUGUUAGACGCUGAAAAAGUCCAGGGGUUUUUACUUUAUUUUGCAGAGGCGGGGGUGUGGGGGUGGCUGGUGGUGUUGAGGGAAGCCGAGGGAAACCAGGGAAUGCUUGGCAGAGAUUAAUCUGUACGUAUGCUAUAGUAGAGGGUAGAUUAUGGCGAGCUAAUGUUCCUCUGCGAGAGAAGAGAAAACAGCGCCGAUGAGCUAUUCCAGACACACAGAUUGAUUCACAUCCAUCACUCCUGGGGCAGAGCCUCUGAGAAUCCUCAAAGAAGGGGAGAGGAUCUAAAUGCAUCUGCUCAGACAAAUGUGGAAAGACAGGGGUUUCUCUCUAGGUAAAACGAUCCUUCCUCUCAGCUUGUCGCCUGUCACCGCAGCGGUUUCUGGUUCCGCUUUGGGAGUCCCAGAAAUCCGAGUUGCCCACAGAAACUGGAAAAUGUGGGGUUGUUUAUGCAGAAGCAAAGUUGGGUAUUUUUUUUUUCGAUUACUGAUGUUUUCCUGCAAGCUUCAAAAUCCUAUUUUGUCACCCCAUCUGGUUCUUACAACUUUUCUUCAAGGUGGGUGGGAUGGGAGGGUAUCCCCAGUUCUCAUAAGCUACAUCAUCUCGAUUCUCUGGUACAGUCUAAAAUAAAAUGCAGUGCUGUCUCCUGAGCUUUUACUCUCACUCACUUCAUCCCAGAGCCCUCUUCUCAGGCCAACACAUUCAGUAUCACCCUUAAAGCUAGAGACCAGGUCCUCAGGGAUGUAGUAAGGGAUCUCCUCAUGUUCUCCAAGAUGGCGCUUCUCCACACCUCCCCUCCAUCGUUCCUAAAAUGCUGGUCUUCUUGAUCAGGGCCAUAUGGACUGUCUAGGGCUAUUCUGAAUAUUGAGUUUAUAUGACUUUUUUUUUGUUAGAAAAAUUGUGGGUCAGCUGAGGUUGUAAGCAUGAGCUCUGGUACUGGCCCAAUCUGACCUCCGACUCCAUGGCUGUACGCCACCCUUUCCUCACCUAUAAAAUGUGUGUGUGAUGCUGCUCCCUACAUCUUAGGCUGUUCUGGUGACUGACUGAGCAUGGGAAUGCAAAGCAGUUAGCACGGAACUAAAGAAGAUUAACUGAGAUGGAAAGUGGGGAGAAAGGAGGGAAGAGAUACACAAAGGAGUCUUUUUUAAAAUCUAUAUUAUCUCUAUGUGCCUUGGCAUUUUGUCCAUACAUGUGUCUGUGUGAUCUCCUGGGACGGGAGUUACAGUUGGGAACAGUUGUGAGCUGCCCUAUGGGUGCUGGCAAUUGCAUCCUGUGGAAGAACAGCCAGUGUUAACUGCUGAGCUCUCUAGCCCACGAAAGCAGUGUUUAGCAUUAAAUGGCAGAUUCAGUGUGCCAAAGCUAAGGACUGAGUUAGGCUCCAAGUAAAGAGCAUUCUGACCUCUGGGCUGUCCUCUGGCAAUGGAGUCUGCCAAAGGGGUGGGAGGUGAGGGAUGUCACUUCUUCAGGCAUUCAAACGGAGACGUCCAGCUUCAAGUGAGGAUGUGGAUCAGUAAUUUGUCAGGGUCUUCCUAGCCAACGUUUUUGCAAAAUAAAUAAAGGAAGCUUUAAGUGACCAACAACCAAAUGUUCUUUGAAGAUUGUAGAGCCGCAGUAGCCCAGCAAUCAAGGACCUAUUUUAACUAAGAACUGAGCUUCCAAAGACUAUUCAUAAUCCUCCAAUUCAGAGUCCAUUGGACACCCUGGGCAGAGUGUGGGUCGUGUUUGGAAAGAGGAGAAAGUUCAUAUGAAGAAGUGUUCUCUUUGAAGCCCACAAAAGGUCUGCCCUCCCUUCCAUUCAUCAACUCUAGUCCAAAGAACUAGACAACGCCCUCCCCAGCAGGAUACCCUACACCAAAGUAGCCCCAGCUUUCUACACAUUGGGAACAACACACUGACAACUCAAAGCUCCCUGCCCUAGCUGGCCACACUGCCAGAUCAAGAGAGGAGACUCCAGAAGGAAAGGGGUAGACAUGGGAUCUACCAGUGACUGCCUUUCCACAGUUUCAGUUCUAGUGUCUGUGAAGAUGAUUUCUUGUUCUGCUGCCCCAGACCCCUGGGUCACUGAAAGAAGCCAUCUUCCCAUCUCAUGUGGUCUGUUGGGACUGCCAAUCGGAGCAAUCUUAGGCCCGUCUGAUCCUGUGGCUGGCGCCUGACCAACCAUAGAACGACCCUAUAAUCCUGCCUUCAGUGACUGCACCAAGAGAACGCCUGAGUUUAGCAGGACCAAUGAGCCCCUUCCAAGUCUGCUACCAUCAUUUGAACUUGAGAGAGAUGCUCACUUUCUUGCAUGAUGGGUAAUUGGGGUUCUGUAAGGGUGGCUUACAGAAUCAUCAGGCCAUCAGAACCAGAGGCCAUCUUUACUAACCUAGAAGAGAAGAACUUCACAGAAGGGAGGUAGAGGUUGAGUCAAACAAAUGACGAACAGGGGCUGCCUCUGCUCUUUGUACCCCUGUGGACAAGUAGAAUUUAAAUAGCUCAACUCUUGGACUUGUGAGUUAUAUACUCUAGGGGGGAAAUUAAACGACUGCAAAUAGACCUGACUGACUAAGUCCAGACAAAGCAAGGUGUCAGGUCACAUCUGCCCAAGAUGCCAUUCAUUGCAAGGGGGAGAUCCGGACAGCCUAGAGAUAACUAUUAAACCCAGAAAAAAAGACUUCACUUUCUCACUGCCCUUCUUGCUAGUUAUCUAGGAUCAGAGUCACCCUAAAAUUCACAUUCUAGCUCAUGGUGGGUGCAAACCAGGUUUCUUGGCAUCGUAUAACUGAUCUCACUUUAAAGGCAUAGACUUGCCUUGAUUCUUAAAAUAAAAAUCCCCCACACGCAUGUCAAUCACGUAGCCAAUUAAGAGGCCUCCGAAUGACAAGCCACUGGAUUGUCAAGGUAUGUUACAGACAGACACACGGGAAGUUUCUGAUAGUUGGGAUAAUUAGUAUGUCAUCUACUGCCUGGCCAGUUCUGCUUGCCAGAAGGAAUCUGAGGGGAUCCAGGACUAUUUUAACAGGCAAUUUAGGGAGCAGGUACCUCUGAGUUCUCACCUGCUUGGCCCAGAGCAUGGGGCAAGGUAAGUGUGUGUGUGUGUGUGUGUGUGUGUGUGUGUGUGUGUAUGAGUGUGUAUGUGUGUAUGUUUAUAUGUAUGUGUGAGUGUGUAUGUGUAUAUGUGUGUCUGUGUGUAUGUGUGUGUGAGUGUGUGUGUAUGUGUGCAUGUGUGUGUGAGUGUGUGUAUGUGUGUAUAUGUGUGUGUAUAUGUGUGUGUAUGUGUGUAUAUGUGUGUGUAUAUGUGUGUAUGUGUGUGUGAGUGUGUGUGUAUGUGUGUAUAUGUGUGUGUAUGUGUGUGUAUGUGUGUGUAUGUGUGUGUGUAUGUGUGUGUAUGUGUGUGUAUAUGUGUGUAUAUGUAUGUGUAUGUGUGUGUAUGUGUGUGUGCAUGUGAAUGUGUGUGUAUGUGUGUGUAUAUGUGUGUAUGUGUGUGUAUGUGUGAGUGUGUGUGUAUGUGUGUGUAUGUGUGUAUAUGUGUGUAUAUGUGUGUAUGUGUGUGUAUAUGUGUGUGUGCAUGUGUAUGUGUGUGUGAAUGUGUGUGUAUGUGUGUAUAUGUGUGUAUGUGUGUAUAUGUAUGUGUAUGUGUGUGUAUAUGUGUGUGUGCGUGUAUGUAUGUGUGUGUAUGUGUGUGUGUGUUUGUGUGUGUGUAUAUAUGUGUGUGUGUUAAGGCAUUGCCACAUUAGGAAUGUAGAAAAACACUGAUGAAGAGAGUUUGCCCAGCAGUUACUUCCUCUUCUGCCCUCCAGACCUGAACCUUUGACUGGAUGAAUUAAGCUUCAGAUUUUAUACUUCCCUAAACCCCUUUCUAGCAACCUGCAGAUAACCUCAAUAAACACAGAUUUCCUUCCUCCCCGGGAUGUCGAGAGAGUACCAAGUGGAGGAUGCUACUGCGCUUGCAGAAACUGAACAGAGAAGCUGUGCCUCAUAGAGAAUGGGGUCCCUCCCACCCACAUCCUCCUUGGGGAAGACGGCCCUUAGUGCUCCACUGUGAGAGCUGCAAAAUAACGCUAUAAAAAUGUUUAUAGACACACGAGGUCCCCAAGGCAAUCUAUACGACACAACAAGCAUGCUGGAAGCAGAGAUAAAGGAAACACUAUUUGCUGGCACCUUGUUGGAGAGAUCUGCGGGAGGUUAGGGGGAAUACUUUAGCAUCCAGCUCGAAAGCUGUGAUCGCAUCAGCCACCUUCCCAAGAAUGUGAAGCCUGUGGGCCGUGAGGUUUUUACGCUGCAGGGUAGGAGGUACAAGCCUGGGCUAGAGGGACACGGCUUGCAUGACAGGAUGUAGAGGCUGACAGGCAGUAGCUGCCCUCCCUGACAGCGUGAAGCCUCCCUCCCACUCUGGCCAUUACCUCCAUAAGGAAUUACCAGUGUCCUGGAGACUCGCAGCACAUUUGUUUUCUCUUACAGUUCUAAGCCAGGCUCUUGGAGAGCUAAAUCCAACGAGCGAGUGUUGGCAGAGCCAUGCUCCCUCUGGAGUGCCUCGAGGACAGUCUGCUUCUAUACCCUUCUCCAGUUCCUUGGGCUGUGUUCCUUGGCCUGUGGCCUUACCUCCACCUUCCAACCCGGCACUGUAGCACCUCCCUUAUUAAAAAGAAAUUAGUAAAAAUGUUAAAAACUA